This 1159-nucleotide ribosomal RNA is filed under the name uncultured Mycoplasma sp. RNAcentral describes it as "bacterial SSU rRNA". It matches the Rfam family "Bacterial small subunit ribosomal RNA", at positions 143 to 1343 of the family's 1533-position model. The record is from RNAcentral. Lineage: Bacteria; Bacillati; Mycoplasmatota; Mollicutes; Mycoplasmatales; Mycoplasmataceae.
AUAGCUAUUCGAAAGAGUAAUUAAUGUCCUAUAGGAGCCAGCCUCACAUGGGGUUGGCUUUAAAGGCGCAAGCCACUUGGAGAUUGGAGUAUUUUCUAUUAGCUAGUUGGCGGGAUAUUUGCCCACACCAAGGCAGUGAUAGAUAGCUGGUCUAAGAGGAUGAACAGCCACAAUGGGAUUGAGAUACGGCCCAUAUUCCUACGGGAAGCAGCAGUAGGGAAUCUUCCACAAUGGGCGAAAGCCUGAUGGAGUGAUGCCAUGUGAAUGAUGAAGGUCUUUUUGAUUGUAAAGUUCUUUUAUUGGGGAAAAUGAUGAUGGUACCCAGUGAAUAAGUGACAGCAAACUAUGUGCCAGCAGCUGCGGUAAUACAUAGGUCGCGAGCGUUAUUCGGAUUUAUUGGGCGUAAAGCGAGCGCAGGCGGAUUGGUAAGUUCUGUGUUAAAUGCAGCCGCUCAACGGUUGUAUGCGCAGAAUACUGCUUUUCUAGAAUACGGUAGAAAGUUUUGGAAUUGAAUGUGGAGCGGUGGAAUGUGUAGAUAUAUUCAAGAACACCAGAGGCGAAGGCGAAAACUUAGGCCGAUAUUGACGCUUAGGCUCGAAAGUGUGGGGAGCAAAUGGGAUUAGAUACCCCAGUAGUCCACACCGUAAACGAUGGAUAUUAGAUGUUGGGACUUGAGUCUCAGCGUUGUAGCUUACGUGUUAAAUAUCCCGCCUGAGUAGUACAUAUGCAAAUAUGAAACUCAAAGGAAUUGACGGGGACCUGAACAAGUGGUGGAACAUGUUGCUUAAUUCGACAAUACACGAAAAACCUUACCAAGAUUUGACAUCCCCUGCAAAGCUUUAGAAAUAAAGUGGAGGUUAUCAGGGUGACAGGUGGUGCAUGGCUGUCGUCAGCUCGUGUCAUGAGAUGUCUGGUUAAGUCCUGAAACGAGCGCAACCCUACUCUUUAGUUAACUUUCUAAAGAGACUGAACAGUAAUGUAUAGGAAGGAUGGGAUCACGUCAAGUCAUCAUGCCCCUUAUAUCUUGGGCCGCAAACGUGUUACAAUGGUGGGUACAACGUGUCGCAAGCCAGCGAUGGCAAGCUAAUCACUAAAAGCUCAUCUCAGUCCGGAUAAAAGGCUGCAAUUCGCCUUUUUGAAGUUGGAAUCACUAGUAAUC